CGGGUGAGUAAUGUAUGGGGAUCUGCCUGAGUGGGCGGGGAUAACUACUGGAAACGGUAGCUAAUACCGCAUAAUGUCUGCGGACCAAAGCGGGGGACCUCCGGGCCUCGCGCCAUCAGAUGAACCCAUAUGGGAUUAGCUAGUAGGUAAGGUAACGGCUUACCUAGGCGACGAUCCCUAGCUGGUCUGAGAGGAUGAUCAGCCACACUGGGACUGAGACACGGCCCAG
This 229-nucleotide ribosomal RNA is filed under the name uncultured bacterium. RNAcentral describes it as "partial 16S ribosomal RNA". It matches the Rfam family "Bacterial small subunit ribosomal RNA", at positions 103 to 334 of the family's 1533-position model. The record is from RNAcentral.